UACAGGGGGGGCAAGCGUUGUUCGGAAUUACUGGGCGUAAAGGGCUCGUAGGUGGCCAACUAAGUCAGACGUGAAAUCCCUCAGCUUAACUGGGGAACUGCGUCUGAUACUGGAUGGCUUGAGUUUGGGAGAGGGAUGCGGAAUUCCAGGUGUGAGCGGUGAAAUGCGUAGAUAUCUGGAGGAACACCGGUGGCGAAGGCGGCAUCCUGGACCAACACUGACACUGAGGAGCGAAAGCCAGGGGAGCAAACGGG
RNAcentral lists this ribosomal RNA (254 nucleotides) under uncultured bacterium. RNAcentral's name for it is "partial 16S ribosomal RNA". It matches the Rfam family "Bacterial small subunit ribosomal RNA", at positions 524 to 776 of the family's 1533-position model. The record is from RNAcentral.